AAUCCUCCCAGGGUCAGUCGGGAGCUAAGGCGAGGCCGAGAGGCGUAGCCGAUGCACAACAGGUGGACAUUCCUGUACCGUCUGGGGGACGUUCGUACCGACGGGGCGACGGAGGAGGAUAGCCGGGCCGGGUUCUGGACGUCCCCGUGAUGGAGCGCGGCCCGCGGACCAGGGAAAUCCGGUCCGCAGAAGGGCGAGGCUCCGGACGAAGCGACUGAGCGAAGCGAGUGAGCCCGAGGUCCCUAGAAAAACCCCUAGGCAGGCGCGUGCGCGCCCGUACCGCAAACCGACACAGGUGGGUGGGUAGAACAUACCGAGGCGAUCGGGUCAACCAUGGUCAAGGAACUCGGCACAAUGGCCCCGUAACUUCGGGAGAAGGGGUGCCCGCGCGUACGUGAACGGACUUGCUCCGGGAGCGGAGGCGGGCCGCAGUGGAGAGGCCCAAGCGACUGUUUACCAAAAACACAGGACUCUGCAGAAGCCGCAAGGCGACGUAUAGGGUCUGACGCCUGCCCGGUGCCGGAAGGUCACGCGGAGGGGUUAGCCGCAAGGCGAAGCCCCGAAGCCAAGCCCCGGUAAACGGCGGCCGUAACUAUAACGGUCCUAAGGUAGCGAAAUUCCUUGUCGGGUAAGUUCCGACCUGCACGAAAGGCGUAACGACUUGGACGCUGUCUCAACCAUGGACCCGGUGAAAUUGCACUAGUCGUGAAGAUGCGACUUACCCGCGGAAGGACGGAAAGACCCCGUGAACCUUUACUGCAGCUUGGCAUUGGCUGCCGGGGCGCCGUGUAGAGGAUAGGUGGGAGACCGUGAUGCGGGGGCGCCAGCCCCCGCGGAGUCGCCCUUGGAAUACCACCCUCGGCGCCUUGGCAUCCUAACCUGCGGCCGUGACCCGGCGCAGGGACCGUGCCAGGUGGGUAGUUUGACUGGGGCGGUCGCCUCCCAAAGAGUAACGGAGGCGCACGUAAGGUCUGCUCGUCGCGGUCGGCAACCGCGAUCAUGAGUGCAAGAGCAUAAGCAGGCUUGACUGCGAGGCCCACAAGCCGAGCAGGUGGGAAACCAGGUUCUAGUGAUCCGGCGGCACAGAGUGGUAUGGCCGUCGCUCAACGGAUAAAAGGUACUCCGGGGAUAACAGGCUGAUCUUCCCCAAGAGUCCACAUCGACGGGAAGGUUUGGCACCUCGAUGUCGGCUCAUCGCAUCCUGGGGCUGGAGCAGGUCCCAAGGGUACGGCUGUUCGCCGUUUAAAGCGGUACGCGAGCUGGGUUCAGAACGUCGUGAGACAGUUCGGUCCCUAUCCUCCGUGGGCGCAGGAGAAUCGAUGGAGGCUGCCCCCAGUACGAGAGGACCGGGGUGGACGCACCUCCGGUGAACCGGUUGUCGACCAACGGCACGGCCGGGUAGCCGCGUGCGGCGCGGAUAACCGCUGAAGGCAUCUAAGCGGGAAGCCGUUCCAGGGAUUAGUUCUCCUUCCGGUAAGGGCCCAGGUAGACUACCUGGUCGAUAGACGGCAGGUGCAAGGGCGGCGACGUCCUCAGCCGAGCCGCACUAAUCGCCCGAGCUCUUCCGGAA
RNAcentral lists this ribosomal RNA (1570 nucleotides) under human gut metagenome. RNAcentral describes it as "bacterial LSU rRNA". It matches the Rfam family "Bacterial large subunit ribosomal RNA", at positions 1367 to 2925 of the family's 2925-position model. The record is from RNAcentral.